This 465-nucleotide ribosomal RNA is filed under the name uncultured bacterium. RNAcentral's name for it is "partial 16S ribosomal RNA". It matches the Rfam family "Bacterial small subunit ribosomal RNA", at positions 28 to 507 of the family's 1533-position model. The record is from RNAcentral.
GACGAACGCUGGCGGCGUGCUUAACACAUGCAAGUCGAACGGAAAGGCCCUGCUUGCAGGGUACUCGAGUGGCGAACGGGUGAGUAACACGUGGGUGAUCUGCCCUGCACUUCGGGAUAAGCCUGGGAAACUGGGUCUAAUACCGGAUAGGAGCCAUUUUUAGUGUGAUGGUUGGAAAGUUUUUUCGGUGUAGGAUGAGCUCGCGGCCUAUCAGCUUGUUGGUGGGGUAAUGGCCUACCAAGGCGGCGACGGGUAGCCGGCCUGAGAGGGUGGACGGCCACAUUGGGACUGAGAUACGGCCCAGACUCCUACGGGAGGCAGCAGUGGGGAAUAUUGCACAAUGGGCGCAAGCCUGAUGCAGCGACGCCGCGUGGGGGAUGACGGGCUUCGGGUUGUAAACUCCUUUCGCUAGGGACGAAGCUUUUUGUGACGGUACCUAGAGAAGAAGCACCGGCUAACUACGUG